UAUGAAUUGCCUGACAAAAAGGAUUACUUUGAUAGAGUAAAUUAUGUAGAAAACUACAUUCAUAA
RNAcentral lists this transfer RNA (65 nucleotides) under Ilythea japonica. RNAcentral's name for it is "tRNA-Ile". Lineage: Eukaryota; Metazoa; Arthropoda; Insecta; Diptera; Ephydridae. The record is from RNAcentral.